This is a non-coding RNA of Mus caroli (Ryukyu mouse), 699 nucleotides long. Lineage: Eukaryota; Metazoa; Chordata; Mammalia; Rodentia; Muridae. The record is from RefSeq and is a predicted model, not a curated record.
GCGCGCUCGGGUGCGCGCCGCCGGUGAGCACGGGUCUGCGAGCGAGGUCAGUGGCCCCAUGUCUCUCUACCCCCCUUCACCCUCCCCAAGGGGCCCCUCGGCGCUCGGGGACUCCUCCGGGCUCCGCGGGGCGGCUCCUUUGAUCUGGCGGCCACCCCGCCCUCAGUCCCCGCCACUGUCGCCGUCGCGGCCCCAAGCGAAUUCCUGUCCCGGGAAAGUUGCGGCCCCACGAUGUGCGCCCCGCGCGGCCACUGCUGAGGGGGGCGAGAAGGCUGCGGUGCCACAGGAGCGCUCCUCGACAGCGCGGGCGACAGCCACCCAAACUAGCCCGGGCCUCACCGGCAGGGACGCGCGACUGACCGGCGGCGAGCGGUGGGAGACUUUGGAACUUAGGCAAAAGUGUGCGUGCAGCCAGCUUUUAGGACUGUCAGAACCAGGAGACCACACAAGCCACAGUCCCAGAACAGCGGGUGUGCUGUGGUGGGGUAAGCCUGAGUGCAGGGGUCGGAGGAUCUGUCCUGCAGCUGCUGUCGCUGAUCCUUAGGACAGCCCAGCCCUUUCGGCCAGACCUUCGGGUUGGAUCUUCACACAGCAGAAUUGAAUGGUGACGCAUUGCAUUGGGUGACAGCCUGCGUGUGGGGUCCUGUCAAAGGGGUUGAAUAUUGGCAGUUUCUCGCAUGAUCCUAAUUAAGAAGAUGG